RNAcentral lists this ribosomal RNA (422 nucleotides) under uncultured bacterium. RNAcentral describes it as "partial 16S ribosomal RNA". It matches the Rfam family "Bacterial small subunit ribosomal RNA", at positions 360 to 774 of the family's 1533-position model. The record is from RNAcentral.
AAUUUUGGACCAUGGGGGCAACCCUGAUCCAGCCAUCCCGCGUGUGCGAUGAAGGCCUUCGGGUUGUAAAGCACUUUUGGCAGGGAAGAACAGGCGCGGGCUAAUACCCGGCGCCGCUGCCGGUACCUGCAGAAUAAGCACCGGCUCACUCCUUGCCAGCAGCCGCGGUAACACGUAUGGUGCAAGCGUUAAUCGGAAUUACCGGUCGUAAAGCGAGCGCAGGCGGGUCGGCAAGAAAGAUGUGAAAUCCCGGGGCGUAACCGCGGAACUGCAUUCUUAACUGCCGGGCUAGAGUAUGUCAGAGGGGGGUAGAAUUCCACGUGUAGCAGUGAAAUGCGUAGAGAUGUGGAGGAAUACCGAUGGCGAAGGCAGCCCCCUGGGAUGAUACUGACGCUCAUGCACGAAAGCGUGGGGAGCAAACA